Molecule: long non-coding RNA, 243 nt
Filed under: Lathyrus oleraceus (garden pea)
Lineage: Eukaryota; Viridiplantae; Streptophyta; Magnoliopsida; Fabales; Fabaceae
Description: Pisum sativum (pea) long non-coding RNA (PSAT_LNC010768)
Source: RNAcentral
UCGAGAUUCUUCUAUGUCAACCCUAAAAUUACCAUUCAAAAUGACUUCUAGCUUCAUCGUGCUUAAAACCUGCUUGGUAACGACCUUAUAUAUCUAACGUGAUCGAAUUUGACGACAUGGUUACUCCUGCACAUCAAAAACAAUAUAAAAACUAAAAUAAAGAACACCUAUUCUACUCAUCAGUAAUUAAUCCAAAUGACUAUAAAACAUUUGUAAUCUAUGGAUUCUUGCCAGCAUUAAAAG